ACAUCUCUUUUUGAGUUAUUUAUAAAGUUUAACCUGCCCACUGAUUAAUUGAAUGGCCGCAGUAUUUUGACUGUGCAAAGGUAGCAUAAUCAUUAGUUUUUUAAUUGAAGGCUGGAAUGAAUGGUUGGACGAAAUAAUGACUGUCUCAUAUGAAUUUAGAUUAGAAAUUUAUUUUUUAGUUAAAAAGCUAAGAUUAAAUUAAAAGACGAGAAGACCCUAUAAAUCUUUAUAUUAAAUUAAUAAGUAAUAUUUAGAAUUUUUUAUUAUUUAUUAGUAAAAAUAUUUUAUUGGGGUGAUAUUAAAAUUUAAUAAACUUUUAAUUUUUAUUACAUUGAUUUAUGGUUAAUUGAUCUAAUAUUAUUAAUUAAUAGAAUAAGUUACUUUAGGGAUAACAGCGUAAUUUUUUUGAAGAGUUCUUAUCGAUAAAAAAGAUUGCGACCUCGAUGUUGGAUUAAGAAAUAUAUUUAGGUGUAGAAGCUUAAAAUUUAAGUCUGUUCGACUUUUAAAUUC
This 510-nucleotide ribosomal RNA is filed under the name Crataerina pallida. RNAcentral describes it as "partial 16S ribosomal RNA". It matches the Rfam family "Bacterial large subunit ribosomal RNA", at positions 1813 to 2595 of the family's 2925-position model. The record is from RNAcentral. Lineage: Eukaryota; Metazoa; Arthropoda; Insecta; Diptera; Hippoboscidae.